UUGUUGGCAUAGAGGGUCAUGGUGCUUCAGUAGUGCAUCAAGUGUCUAUCCAGAUCUUCAUCUCAUUUGAACAAGGUGAAAUGUGGCAAGCUAAACUUCCGCGGUGGCUCCAUUUACUCGAUCUCAUCCGUAAAUGGUGACCUGCUCAGGUUGGCCACGUCUUUAUGGAGGGCAUCGUUGGUGACAUCAAUACGCUGGAAUUCGUGCAAUUACUCUGCUACGAACCUUUGUACUUCCUCCUAGAUUUGCGCCUGGUGAGGCGGCG
RNAcentral lists this long non-coding RNA (265 nucleotides) under Malus domestica (apple). Its description in RNAcentral is "long non-coding RNA (MDOM_LNC013737)". Lineage: Eukaryota; Viridiplantae; Streptophyta; Magnoliopsida; Rosales; Rosaceae. The record is from RNAcentral.